GGCGUGCUUAACACAUGCAAGUCGAACGAUGAAGAGCAGCUUGCUGCUUGGAUUAGUGGCGCACGGGUGAGUAAUAUAUAGGUAAUGUGCCUCUUAGUCUGGGAUAGCCAUUGGAAACGAUGAUUAAUACUGGAUACUCCUUCUAACUCUAAUGUUAGUCGGGAAAGUUUUUCGCUAAGAGAUCAGCCUAUAUCCCAUCAGUUAGUUGGUAAGGUAACGGCUUACCAAGGCAAUGACGGGUAGCGGGUUUGAGAGGAUGAUCCGCCACACUGGUACUGAGACACGGACCAGACUCCUACGGGAGGCAGCAGUGAGGAAUAUUGCACAAUGGGGGAAACCCUGAUGCAGCAACGCCGCGUGGAGGAUGACGCAUUUCGGUGUGUAAACUCCUUUUAUAUGUCAAGAAAAUGACGGUAGCAUAUGAAUAAGCACCGGCUAACUCCGUGCCAGCAGCCGCGGUAAUACGGAGGGUGCAAGCGUUACUCGGAAUCACUGGGCGUAAAGGACGCGUAGGCGGAUUGGAAAGUCAGAUGUGAAAUCCUACAGCUUAACUGUAGAACUGCAUUUGAAACUUCUAAUCUAGAGUAUGGGAGGGGGAGAUGGAAUUAGUGGUGUAGGGGUAAAAUCCGUAGAUAUCACUAGGAAUACCGAAAGCGAAGGCGAUCUCCUGGAACAUUACUGACGCUAAGGCGUGAAAGCGUGGGGAGCAAACAGGAUUAGAUACCCUGGUAGUCCACGCCCUAAACGAUGAACACUAGUCGUCGGGAUGCUUGUCAUCUCGGUGAUGCACUUAACAGAUUAAGUGUUCCGCCUGGGGAGUACGGUCGCAA
Molecule: ribosomal RNA, 830 nt
Filed under: uncultured bacterium
Lineage: Bacteria
Description: bacterial SSU rRNA
Rfam family: Bacterial small subunit ribosomal RNA
Source: RNAcentral